UGUGCUCGUCUCCGCUCCAGCAACGCCGCCGACCCUAGCCUCCUCCUGGCGGCGGCCGUCUGACCCGGCCGGCGAUGGAGAUGGAGGCGGCCGGCCGAUGCUCGAGGAAGAGGAAGUCCGCUGAGCUGGGCUCGCCCGAGGUGGGGGCGGCUUCAGAAGGGCGCGGUCCGGGACCUACGGCGGGGGACCAGGUGCCGCCGCCGCCGCCGCCGCUGCCCGGAGCCGAAGGAGGCGGCAGCGACCGAAUCAGCGACCUCCCCGACGCCGUCCUCGGGGAAAUCAUCUCCCUCCUCCCCACCAAGGAAGGCGCGCGCACCCAGGUCCUCGCCUCCCGGUGGCGCCGCCUCUGGCGCUCCGCCCCCCUCAACCUCGACUGCCGUCCGUACCUAUUCGACAAGGAUGCCCGCGACGCCAUCAUAUCGCGCAUCCUCGCCAUCCACCAGGGCCCCGGCCGCCGCUUCUGCGCGCCCGUGUACCAUCUCCACGGCCACCGAGCCGAAGCCUGGCUCCGGUCUCCCGCCCUCGACAACCUCCACGAGCUUGAGCUGUGCAGCUACCACCCUCGCUUUCCGUUUCCACCGGAAACGCAGCAUCCACCGCCGGCGGCCGCCUUCCGCUUCUCUGACACGCUCCGUGUUGCCACCAUCGGAGAAUGCCACCUUACCGACAGCACCGUCCAAGCGCUUCUCUUCCCCAAGCUUCAGAAGCUCGCGCUGAAACGGGUUCCUGCAUAUAUCGGUAAUCUCUGCGCCUAAAUUGGAGACAUUAGGCUGCCUUUCCUUUUGUUCCAGUUCCAGACUCGUGUUUAACUCCACAGUUUUUCAGGGAUUCAAAGUUGAUAGCUUUACAACAGCGGUGCACACUGUCAAGAUCUUAGCGGUUGAUAUGAAUGCUCUCAGUCUGGAUCUUGUUAUUGACUUGAUGAGAUGCUUUCCAUGCUUGGAAAAGCUGUACAUUCAG
Lolium perenne is the source of this 960-nucleotide RNA transcript. It is a transcript of the gene named F-box/FBD/LRR-repeat protein At2g04230, with no coding region annotated. The record is from RefSeq and is a predicted model, not a curated record. NCBI's taxonomy places the organism in Eukaryota, Viridiplantae, Streptophyta, Magnoliopsida, Poales, Poaceae.